GACGAACGCUGGCGGCGUGCCUAAUACAUGCAAGUAGAACGCUGAAGAGAGGAGCUUGCUCUUCUUGGAUGAGUUGCGAACGGGUGAGUAACGCGUAGGUAACCUGCCUUGUAGCGGGGGAUAACUAUUGGAAACGAUAGCUAAUACCGCAUAACAAUGGAUGACACAUGUCAUUUAUUUGAAAGGGGCAAUUGUUCCACUACAAGAUGGACCUGCGUUGUAUUAGCUAGUAGGUGAGGUAAUGGCUCACCUAGGCGACGAUACAUAGCCGACCUGAGAGGGUGAUCGGCCACACUGGGACUGAGACGCGGCCCAGACUCCUACGGGAGGCAGCAGAAGGGGAUCUUAGGCAAUGGGGGCAACCCUGACCGAGCAACGCCGCGUGAGUGGAGAAGGUUAUCGGAUCGUAAAGCUCUGUUGUAAGUCAAGAACGGGUGUGAGAGUGGAAAGUUCACACUGUGACGGUAGCUUACCAGAAAGGGACGGCUAACUACGUG
RNAcentral lists this ribosomal RNA (497 nucleotides) under uncultured bacterium. Its description in RNAcentral is "partial 16S ribosomal RNA". It matches the Rfam family "Bacterial small subunit ribosomal RNA", at positions 28 to 507 of the family's 1533-position model. The record is from RNAcentral.